Molecule: ribosomal RNA, 537 nt
Filed under: uncultured bacterium
Lineage: Bacteria
Description: bacterial SSU rRNA
Rfam family: Bacterial small subunit ribosomal RNA
Source: RNAcentral
UGAACGCUGGCGGCAUGCCUAAGACAUGCAAGUCGAACGAGGUGGCCCGCUGAUUAAUUUGAAAAUGGAGUGCUUGCACAAGUUGGAUUAUUAUGACGCGGAUCUUCCACCUAGUGGCAGACGGGUGAGUAACACGUGGGUUACCUACCUUUAAGUUGGGGAUAACAGUUGGAAACGAUUGCUAAUACCGAAUAAGAUACUCGUAUUGAAAGGAGCUUUCGGGCUUCGCUUAGAGAUGGGCCUGCGGCGUAUUAACUUGUUGGUGGGGUAACGGCCUACCAAGGUUGCGAUGCGUAGCCGAACUGAGAGGUUGAUCGGCCACACUGGGACUGAGACACGGCCCAGACUCCUACGGGAGACAGCAGUUAGGAAUAUUCGUCAAUGGGGGAAACCCUGAACGAGCAAUGCCGCGUGAAGUGAUGAAGGUCUUUGGAUUGUAAAACUCUGUUGUAUGGAAAAAACGGCUAGGUUAGGAAAUGAACUUAGUGUGAUGGUACCAUACCAGAAAGCCCCGGCUAACUACGUGCCAGCCGCUGC